Biomphalaria pfeifferi is the source of this 1318-nucleotide non-coding RNA. Lineage: Eukaryota; Metazoa; Mollusca; Gastropoda; Planorbidae. The record is from the annotation of a GenBank genome assembly.
CUUUUAGUUACAAUUGUUUUUUUUUUUUUUUUUAAUUAAACAUUUGAUUGUUCUUCUGUGUUGUUUUUUUAUGUGCCUAGAUUGCUAGUGAAACUUAUACACAUUGAUGUACUUGUUUCCAGGGCUUAGAAGUGAACACCCGAAUCAAAUGUUGGGAAAUCUUAACUUACAGAUCAUAACAUCUCCCAUGUUUAUUCAAGUUCAAUAGAGAUUUAAACUCUACUUAUUUUCCUUGCUGAUUCUGGCAACAUGUUCCUUGCUUUAAUGACUCUUGGUAAGAAAGAAUCCUUAUCUAAAUAAGUUCUAAACUAUGGAAUAAAAAAUGUGUUUUUAUUGGUGGUAGGUUAAAUAUCAGCAUUGAUAGAUGGAGCAAAGUAAUGCUUUUGUUCAAGGAGCUAGAAUUAGCAAUCAAGUUCUCCUACUCUUAGUCUUUGGUCAGACAGAAUGGUUUUGAAGCUGUUUCAACAACAUAUUCAUAGAUUUAUGCCGUUCUUGGCUUUUCCUACAGGUGAACACGGACAUUCAGAUCUUAUAUAUUAAAGAAGUUACUUCAAAAGAGAAGAAAAUUACGUUCUACAUGUAUCUAUGUGUUAAUUCAGAGACUUGUAAUCUGGUUUACCUGGCUGAUUCAGGCAACCCAUUACAUGCUCUAAUAGCAUUAGGAAUGAAGGAGCACUUGUACAAGUUUGUCCUAGCAAUUGUGCCUUUUUUGUGUGUCUGAGUUUUUUUUUCUUUUUAAAUUAGGUUUUGUAUUUGUAAAAUAUUGCUCAGUGUUUUAUUUAUGUAUUAUUGCUACUUUACUUUUUAAUCUUCUGUCCUGAAGACUCUCUAGUGAUUUUACUUAUAGCUCUAUGCUCUGACCAAAUGUGAAUAUUCGUUUGUUUCACCUUUUAUUUAGGAUGCUUAGCAGAAGAAAUCUGCAAAUACUCUUAGCUACUACAGAAUUUAAUUGAAACCCUUGUAGUCUGACUUUUAGUUUUUUAACAUCUAACUUUGGAAACAAAAUUAAACUCAAAGGCGGAACAAUUUUUAUCUAAAUUAAAACCAAAGUUGUUGUUUUUUUGGUGAAAAUUUAUUUUAGCUUAGUUUUGCUAUUGCUUAUAGAUACAGUUAUUUAGUAGGCAAAAGUGAAGGCCAGUUUUGCUGAAAGUGUUUUUGAAGUAUGACAAUGUGAUUGUAAUGAUAAUUAUAUAGCACUUGUUGUUGGAUGUCAUUACAGUGUUGAAUGCAUUCAUUGAAAAGCAAUACAAAAUGUUGGUUGUUAUGAACUCCGUGUUGUAUCAUUUCAUUUUCUAUUUCUUACAAACAUUUGACGAUG